CCUAAGAGAUACGUGUUAUGUGAAGUGCUCACACAGAUUGUCUGAUGAAGAACGAGCAGAGAUACCGGUAUAGGCUUGUAGCUCAGGUGGUUAGAGCGCACCCCUGAUAAGGGUGAGGUCGGUGGUUCAAGUCCACUCAGGCCUACCACUUUUCCUUUAUGCUGUGUUGUGAAGCAACUCGUUUACAUUAAGUAAACUUCGUUACUCCACGCCUUGCCUAAAGAAAAAGCUUCUUAUUAUAAGAAGAAAAAGGAGUGGUUAUACGGGUAUUAAAACAUUAUGGGGCUAUAGCUCAGCUGGGAGAGCGCCUGCCUUGCACGCAGGAGGUCCGCGGUUCGAUCCCGCUUAGCUCCACCAUAAUCUCUUGAAUAUAAAACAAUGAUUCAGAGUAUAUUAGGAAUAGUAUACUGUGAAUUAUUAUGCUCUUUAACAAUCUGGAACAAGCUGAAAAAUUGAAAACAAAUCAAUAUAUCAACGAGGUAUAUUGGUGAGUCUCUCAAAAUCUCAAACCUUAAAGUUUGUCACGCAAAGUUUAUCUUUGAAAAAGACACUUUCGGGUUGUGA
RNAcentral lists this unclassified non-coding RNA (564 nucleotides) under Proteus mirabilis. RNAcentral describes it as "partial 16S-23S ribosomal RNA intergenic spacer". The stretch from base 72 to 145 matches the Rfam family "tRNA". The record is from RNAcentral. Lineage: Bacteria; Pseudomonadati; Pseudomonadota; Gammaproteobacteria; Enterobacterales; Morganellaceae.